Long non-coding RNA from Brienomyrus brachyistius, 1666 nucleotides. RefSeq lists it as uncharacterized. Lineage: Eukaryota; Metazoa; Chordata; Actinopteri; Osteoglossiformes; Mormyridae. The record is from RefSeq and is a predicted model, not a curated record. The transcript has 3 exons.
AUGGCGAUUCGACCCACAAUGCACUGCGGCCAUAGCGAAAAAGACCGAUAUACGCAGUGUCUACCGUAAUUUAUAUAUUUACAGUUGUGAUUCGAAUAAAUACGAGUAAAGUCAUUAAUUGACCGAGUAGUCGUUUUUUUAAAAAAAAAUCUUCUCCUGUCUGCUAUGUUGGUUGAAUGCAUAAUCUAUAAGACAUAAACGGCUAUGAUAAAUAUCCAUUAUCGAAUAGAAGCGGUCACCUGAUUAGCGCGUGACGUGUGGGUAACAUAGAGUCAGAGAAAACGGCGUCGCAACGCUAAGUUGGAGUAUAUGAUCCCUGCAUGACUUUUACGGAUCUGUUGGGCAAGCCCGCAACUUUAAAAAAUAGUUUGUAAGAGUAGAGCGCGAUGGAGUACCAACUCCCUACGCUGCUUGUAAUACGUGCAAAGUCAUAGUCAAAUAUGCACCUGACUCGGGGACGAUUGGCGUGCAGAAACACACUUGUAGCAGCAGAUCGCUUGGUAAACGAGUGCAGCCAAAAUAACUGGUUUUGUGAAGUGAGAAGUUCCAGAAAUUAUGAAGAUCAGGCUCAGGAACACGAUGGCUCGCAUGUGGGUGCAAGAUUUGAGACCUUUUGUUUUUAUAGAAGCACAAGGAUUCAUCGACAUGGCGAAGGAGUUGCUUCACAUCGCUGCGACUUAUGGGACCAGCAUUGAGAUCAAUGGGGUCUUAGCGAGUGCACAGAGUGUUUCUCGCCAUCCAGAGAAGGAUUAUGAAAAAAUAAACAAAUUUGUAAUAGAACGGCUCCAACAGGUUUGCCCUCUGGAAAGCCCUACAACUGCGAUAUAUUUAAGGAAGAGCAUAUCUCUGAUACCCUUUGCGUGUUUCUUGCUUGGAUCUUCCCAAAGAAUGAAAAGGGAGGUCCGCCGUGGGAUUCACCCCAAUCCUCCCAAAGGAUGACUCAGUAUUAUAUACAGAGGCUGGGGACAGCAGCCCCCCCCCCCAUGGAACCGCGAUGGACCAUGUGUGGGAGAUGGGAGGGGGGACAGUGCGGCUGCACAGUAGAGUGGUACACAGACUAAUGUCAGGCACGUGUUUCUGUUUAAUAAAGUAUAAGAAAUUAAGUUUCAGACAUAAUUGUUCCAUAUAAAUCUGAAUGUAAACCCCACAACACAAACAACUUAGGAAUAAGAUACCAUUACUAUAUUAAGAUUCAACAUUUCAACACAAAUACUUUUACUGUCACUGUUUGGAUCCCCAGCUUUGUGUGCAUUUUUGAAUGUUAUAAAAAGAAAAUAACUAAUUAAAUAAAUUAUCAAACUACCUACAUAUAUUUUCUGUCGUUCUGCUGAUUUUUGUUCUUUUUGAAGAAACACAGAGACUCACAGGAUGCAGCUGCCAGCAGCAGCAGACACAGAGAUCAUGGUCGGUGCUGAAGAUGAUCUGCUGUGAGCUGCUCUUCACCAUGUUCCUUAGGAACUACUGAGGGUUUAAAGAGAGUCAACAAUGUGCUGUUUAAAUGAGGAGGGAGGAAGGAAACAGGGACUCAUUUGCAUAGGGGUGGAGUAUGAAAUGACCUUUGUAGUAUUAAAGGACAGGAGGAGUGAUACUACAGUGCAGGUGCUGAUGUUCCGGAAGAUUUACACACUAGGAGUGAUACUUGUGGAAUGGUUUACCAGCCUACGUU